CUGGGCUUAAAUGUAGAGUGCAUGAGUGGGAAACCAUUCUUUCCUUCGGGACUCUUUACAAGGUGCUGCAUGGUUGUCGUCAGCUCGUGCCGUGAGGUGUCGGGUUAAGUCCCAUAACGAGCGCAACCCCUACCUUUAGUUGCCAUCAGGUAAUGCUGGGGACUCUAAAGGAACUGCCUACGCAAGUAGUGAGGAAGGUGGGGAUGACGUCAAAUCAGCACGGCCCUUACGUCCAGGGCUACACACGUGCUACAAUGGUCGGUACAGAGGGCAGCUACCACGCGAGUGGAUGCAAAUCUCCAAAGCCGAUCUCAGUUCGGAUCGAAGUCUGAAACUCGACUUCGUGAAGUUGGAUUCGCUAGUAAUCGCGCAUCAGCCAUGGCGCGGUGAAUACGUUCCC
RNAcentral lists this ribosomal RNA (400 nucleotides) under uncultured bacterium. Its description in RNAcentral is "bacterial SSU rRNA". It matches the Rfam family "Bacterial small subunit ribosomal RNA", at positions 975 to 1375 of the family's 1533-position model. The record is from RNAcentral.